CAAUUUAAAGCUUAAUUAGUAAAGCAUUUCGUUUACAUCGAAAAUAAAAACGUGCAAAUCGUUUUAGAUUGA
This 72-nucleotide transfer RNA is filed under the name Propsilocerus sinicus. RNAcentral's name for it is "tRNA-Val". It matches the Rfam family "tRNA". Rfam says of the family: Transfer RNA (tRNA) molecules are approximately 80 nucleotides in length. Their secondary structure includes four short double-helical elements and three loops (D, anti-codon, and T loops). Further hydrogen bonds mediate the characteristic L-shaped molecular structure. tRNAs have two regions of fundamental functional importance: the anti-codon, which is responsible for specific mRNA codon recognition, and the 3' end, to which the tRNAs corresponding amino acid is attached (by aminoacyl-tRNA synthetases). tRNAs cope with the degeneracy of the genetic code in two manners: having more than one tRNA (with a specific anti-codon) for a particular amino acid; and 'wobble' base-pairing, i.e. permitting non-standard base-pairing at the 3rd anti-codon position. Lineage: Eukaryota; Metazoa; Arthropoda; Insecta; Diptera; Chironomidae. The record is from RNAcentral.